This 292-nucleotide ribosomal RNA is filed under the name uncultured bacterium. Its description in RNAcentral is "partial 16S ribosomal RNA". It matches the Rfam family "Bacterial small subunit ribosomal RNA", at positions 505 to 796 of the family's 1533-position model. The record is from RNAcentral.
GUGUCAGCAGCCGCGGUAAUACGGAGGUGGCAAGCGUUGUUCGGAAUUACUGGGCGUAAAGGGCGCGUAGGCGGGGAGGCAAGUCGGGUGUGAAAUCCCUCGGCUCAACUGAGGAACUGCGCCCGAAACUGCUUCUCUUGAGUCCCGGAGAGGAAGGUGGAAUUCCCGGUGUAGCGGUGAAAUGUGUAGAGAUCGGGAGGAACACCGGUGGCGAAGGCGGCCUUCUGGACGGUGACUGACGCUGAGGCGCGAAAGCGUGGGGAGCAAACGGGAUUAGAUACCCCCGUAGUCC